RNAcentral lists this long non-coding RNA (902 nucleotides) under Equus asinus (donkey). RNAcentral describes it as "lncRNA (ENSEASG00005035636.1)". Lineage: Eukaryota; Metazoa; Chordata; Mammalia; Perissodactyla; Equidae. The record is from RNAcentral.
CCAAGACCCCUGCUGAGUGUUCUGUUUACUGACUCAUAUCGUCUCGACAGUCCCGAGGAACAUCUGGACCCAAAGCAGGAACCUGUUCAAGUGCAUCUCCUGUCCCAGCUAACUCUCCCCCAUCUGUUGAGGAUCAAUGACUCAGCUUUUCGGAAAUUACUUGUUCUUGAGACUUUGGUCCCCAAGGGCAAUGUCCCCAGGAGGUAAUGGUGAUCUAGUGGAAUUCAGGCAGAGAGGCACCCCUGCCAAAAUGCCAUCCACUUUGUCCCGGAAGGCAGCAUUAGGACCUCUCACCUUGAGGAGGGGCCGUGAGACACUUCUCGUGUGUUUUUCACCACCGUUUCUACAUGGAGAAGGAAGAAGUGGUUAUCUACGGGGGUGGGGCUAACUCCUGGCACUUGGCUCACUCCUCUGGAAGAUCACAGCUUACGAGUCCACCCAUGAGCCCACUGAGAAGCAGUCUCAUCCGGCGGGUCUGGAGCAGGGCCUGAGAGUCUGCAUUUCUAGUAACAUCCCUCCCUGGGGAGGCCGAUGCUUCUGGACUCCAGACCACCUUUGAGAGGCAAGCUUUAAUGUCUGCACACCCCUUCAUUUUGCAGUUUGGGAAACUGAGACUUGGAGAGAGUAAGUAGCCAGCCUAACACUACCAGCUAAGGCAGAGUGGGAGAGUGCUCAGAUCUGUGGGCUGCACUCUGGAACCCAAGUGUUUCUGUGGGGAAACAAGAACAUGCAGCUUCCUAAUCCACCAUUUUUCUGAUGUUACUCCCUCUGCAAUUGUAAUGAAUCCUGCCCUUUUCCUCAUGUUUGAUGCCUCAGGACCACAAGAUGGUUGCUACAACUCCAGCAAUCCCAUCUAUGUCCAGAAAUCCCACUGAGGGUAGUGGAAAGGGAAGACAGCUAUA